CAAAAAAAUUUUUCCAACUGGUUUUUUUCUCCUUCCAUCCUACUCCCGAUUGUGAGAUUACCCAGCUACUUCUUCAUGCAUGCUUACACGAAUCGCUUCCUUGCUUCGAUGGGAGAGUGCUCUGCGAUUUUCUGAGAUAGAGGGAGAUGGUGGAAGAAAAACAGAAUUGAUUUAGGACUGAUGAAUGGAUUGGUUUCUUCUCAGGCGGAAUCACCAGGAAUUUGUUAUUCCAAUGAUUUGGUUCUGCCUCUGAUGAUGAGGUCAUCCUGCUUUGAUUGGACGUCACCGUCCAUUUUCAGUGACCCAUGAAGCUGCAGAGAUAUGGAUUGCUGAGUGAAGAAGAAGAAGAAGGCGGCCAAGGAGGAGAAGCAGAAGAGUUUCUUGACGAAGAAGGCGAUGAAACCAAACAAGUCUUGGAUUUGCCUGUUUGUUCUUCAAAUCACGAAGGAGAUUUGGCUAAAGCCAACAAUGAUGGGGAUCAUAGAGGAAGAAAAAGGUCAGCGAUUCAUCUGGUUACAGAGAAUGGAAGCAGAAAAGCUGUAUUAGUGAAGGAGAUUUCAGAAAUUACAGAGAGACUAUGUAUCUGUAAAUUUUUUUUUUUUUGCACUUUAAGCAUUUACCAUAGGAAGAUGAAAACUUAAAAAAAAACUUAGAAGGGUGCUUAAGCAAAAAAGUAUCCAAAAAAAUUAUAUAAAAAUGGUUAAGCAUCUCUUAGGGGUGCUAACCAUUGAAGAUGGUCUUAGACCACCUCCAACGCAGGGUAAAAUGAGGUUUUUCGAAGGGGUUCAUCA
This is a long non-coding RNA of Eutrema salsugineum, 791 nucleotides long. RefSeq lists it as uncharacterized. The transcript has 3 exons. The record is from RefSeq and is a predicted model, not a curated record. Lineage: Eukaryota; Viridiplantae; Streptophyta; Magnoliopsida; Brassicales; Brassicaceae.